GACGAACGCUGGCGGCGUGCUUAACACAUGCAAGUCGAGCGGUAAGGCCUUUCGUGGUACACGAGCGGCGAACGGGUGCGUAACACGAGGGUGAUCGUCACCGCACCUCGGGAUAAGCCUGGGAAAAUGGGACUAAUACCGGAAAUGACCUCCUGUCGCUGCGUGGGGGGUGGGAAGGUUUAUCGUUGCAGGAUGGGCCCGCGGCCGAUCAGCUUGUUGGUGGGGUAAUGGCCUACCAAGGCGACGACUGGUAGCCGACCUGAGAGGGUGAGCGGCCACACUGGGACUGAGACACGGCCCAGACUCCUACGGGAGGCAGCAGUGGGGAAUAUUGCACACUGGGCGAAAGCGUGAUGCAGCGACGCCGCGUGAGGGAUGACGGCCUUCGGGUUGUAAACCUCUUUCAGCAGGGACGAAGCGCAAGUGACGGUACCUGCAGAAGAAGCACCGGCUAACUACGUG
This 462-nucleotide ribosomal RNA is filed under the name uncultured bacterium. RNAcentral's name for it is "partial 16S ribosomal RNA". It matches the Rfam family "Bacterial small subunit ribosomal RNA", at positions 28 to 507 of the family's 1533-position model. The record is from RNAcentral.